AGAACGACACAGAGUGUAUAGCCAACUCUGAUUCCAAGUUCUUGACCGUUGGAAAGAAACUAAGAUGGAAAUGGCCAGAGGCCGUGUUACCCUCCGCUUCCUCUCUAGCUCAGGGUGGGGCUCACUGGACAAGACUGGUUAUGAGAGGGUUACUAGGGCCCGAUGUCAGAGGAAUGGAGGAACAAGGAGGUCUGAGGUCUUCCGCAGGAUAGAAACAGACAUGGUCCUGUUGAGGAGCGAGGACAAGGCAGUCCCCAAUCAGGUACCAAGACACGUGUUGAGGACAGACGUGUCUGGAGGCAAGGACAUUACCAAGGUGGUGGAGAUGGGCCAGACAAGAAGCGAAGCGUGAGUGAGAGCUGCUAUUUCGUGGGUCCAGUCACGUGUCGGGCAUUGUGGGGAGUACUUGCAUGAGCCCAGAGCCAGCCCAGAAACUGGGUGAGGUAGGCUGAGUAACAGCCCUCAGCGGUGCCCACGUCCUAAUCCCUGAGAUCUAUAAAUACGUUACUUAAUAUGGCAAAGGGAACUUCACCAACGUGAGGACUGAGGGGCCUCAAACUUGGCAGAGAGCCUGGAUUAUCCCAGUGGCCUUAACCAAUGUGUUUACAAGAGUCCUUUUAAGGAGGAUACAGUAGUGUUGCAUCCAGAUGUUGUGCUCUUGGCUUUGAACACGGAAGAUGGAAACCAAAGCAGAAACCUGAAGAAGGCGAGAAACAGAUUCCCCCCCUAGAGCCUCUGGAAGAAAGGCAGCCCUUUCAACACCCUGAUUUAGACUCCUUUGGACUACUGACUUCUGGAAUUGUAAGAGAAUAAACCUCUGGGGUCUUUUAAUCUAUAAAGUUUGUGGCAACUUGUUGUGUACAGCAGUGGAACUAAUUACAGAUGGUAGCGAUUCUUACUGUUGUGCUCCGAGCAGGAAGGUCUUUGGGGACCACCGUGGUUUUAUGUCCAUCCCACACACAGCUAUGGUACAAGACCCCCUUUGACAACUUGACUUUACUGGGUAGAGACGUGCUGACCAACCUCAAGAUGUAACCUCAGGUGGAGACUUGCUACGGCUACCAUCCCCAGCCACUCCUGUGGGACCAGCUCUGAAAAACCUCUCCGACGGGGGCACCAUCUCAAAGGCAAAUAAGUGCCAAGGCUGCAUAUGUGAGGAGAAAUCUCUCGAGUGACUCAUUGUCCAGAGACAGAGAUCAAAGGGCAGGUUGGACUGGGAGCUAUUGUGUGCAUUGAACAUCCAGCCUCACUGAUUCCAUGCCAGGGCUGAGUAUUAAUAGUCCAUCUCUAACAGAACCACCUAGGCUGUUCCAGGAAGAGUGUGCAACUAAGCCAGAGUCCUGGCGGUUAGAUUCAUGACCCUCCUCCACCAGUGAGCUUUAGUCAGGGGCCACUGCUCAUAAUCUGUGAUCACACACACCCCUGGCUAGGACACCACAUGUGGCAAGACAAGUGGAAAAGUGUUGUGGGCUGGUUUAAAAAAAAAAAAAAAGUUUGUGGUUCAAAACAAUUUAUUACAAGGAGGUCAGAAGCAUUCCUACUUCCUAGCUCAUCUGGGUGCAGCUGGCUUGGGUGAGUGGUGUUAAGUGCCAAGGAGGCCAAGGCCUAAGCUUAUCGUCAGGGACAGGUGGAAAUUUCCCAUCCCGUGCUAGGCCCAGACUCUGCAGUUAGGGUUUUGUGGACCAGAUGGGUGCGGGGGUGGAAGGCUGGGCACAGACCUUGGGUGCACCUGUGCCUUUUCAGCACCAGCAAUGCCUGGGAGGCAAGGAGAGUGUGUGUCUGUUUUGGGCUCUAGGGUUAGGUUCCAUCCCCAGGGUUAUGGGAGGGCACACAGAGAGACACCAUGUUCAUCUUGCAAAUCCCACCCCUGUUCUGUGAUGAUUAUAAAAGCAUCUAGGAGGCUUCCUUGAGUGAAAGUAAAGAUUGGGCAGCGAUAGAGGAAGAAGGUUUUCCUUAGCAGAGUAAGUGCUUUCCUAAAAGCCUGUGGCUCAGUGGACAGGCUCUGUUCAGCUGUCAGACACAUGGGCGGGUGCCCGCAGUAGCCCAGCCUGUCUGCCCCGACGGUGGCCUGAGGCCUGCCAUUGUUCUGCUCCCAAACCCGCUCCUGCCAGGGGUACCUAUUCCCUAAUUGCAUGCAAACUGUCACAUAAACUGUGAAGACUGGGAGCAAAAAAUAAAAUAAAAUAAAAUAAAUAUAAUGUCCACAAAAUCCAAGUUAAAUUUGUAGAAGAAUCUGAUUAAGUCUCUAAAACUCUUGCUAUUGAAUUGGGUGUGGAUGAGUCAAGGCUGAGCAGGAAGAUAAAAGGGUAAAAGUAGAGGAUUGUACUUUGUAUUCUUUGCAAGUGCUCCCUGCACUGUAAGUAAACCAAAAGAGGAAUGAGAUGAUCCAUAAAGGCUGAGUUUACUCUAGAAAAACUGCAAGGGGUGACAAUGAAAUGGCCUUGGCCCUAUACCCCAAAUAGGUGAUACAUUUACAUUUAUUGCUUUUAAUUUAAAUUGAAGCAUUGUGAGGUAUGGGCAUAACCUCCCUUCCCCAGACACAGAAGCCAAGGAGUGAAGCGGACAUUCACCUGAAGUGACCAAUCCCCAAACAGCAGCGGAUUGCUGAGUGGGCUGCUUUCCUCAUGAAGUACGUACACACACGGAUCUCUAAAUGCCAAGGUAAGGGCUGGCCUCUCAUCUCCUAGGGGCAGUGGUCUCAGGACUUGCUAAGACCCAUCUCAGUGUAAGGAGCAGCCUCUUAAGGGAGGAAGGAGCUAGUCUAGGAGACCCUGGAUAUCAGCGUCACCCAGCACCUCUCACCACCCCGCACUGUGGGUCAUGAGGCUGUGCCACAUGCUAUGUGGGGGGCAAAGCCAGAAGAAAGACGGCACCAGAUAGGAAAGUGAGGGAACACAAACUGUGGUCUGCAAUCUCUCCCUAUAAUUUAGUAAACAGAACAGAACAAAACAAAGCAAAACACUUGGCUCUUUCUGCAGCUCUAUCACUGAUUUCUUUUCAAAACUUAGCUACGUUGACCACCACAGCUAUUACUGGAUUUCACCACAAGAGAGCGAUAGGGUUUCUAAAACGAGAGAUUCUUGCACACCAAGAAAUCAAAUCCCUCAGGGCUGGAAGAGGUCUUAAAUAUCACUAUCACUUGGUUCGCCGGUUUUCAAAAUCUUUUUGGCUAAAACCCACAGCAAGAACUGCAUUCUUCAUAGCGAACUAGUUCAUAAAUAUAUAUUUGAAAUGCAUUUUAGGUACAAUUUACUCUUACAUUUGCAAAGCAUUCUAAUAGUUUGUAUUCCAACAAAUUUUGUUAAAAAUAAACGAACAGGGACGCCUGGGUGGCUCAGUUGGUUAAGCAGCUGCCUUCGGCUCAGGUCAUGAUCCCAGCGUCCUGGGAUCGAGUCCCACAUCGGGNN
This 3407-nucleotide long non-coding RNA is filed under the name Mustela putorius furo (domestic ferret). Its description in RNAcentral is "lncRNA (ENSMPUG00000024776.1)". Lineage: Eukaryota; Metazoa; Chordata; Mammalia; Carnivora; Mustelidae. The record is from RNAcentral.